RNAcentral lists this ribosomal RNA (778 nucleotides) under uncultured bacterium. RNAcentral's name for it is "bacterial SSU rRNA". It matches the Rfam family "Bacterial small subunit ribosomal RNA", at positions 93 to 863 of the family's 1533-position model. The record is from RNAcentral.
GAGUGGCGAACGGGUGAGUAACACGUAGGUAACUUACCUCUAAGACGAGGAUAACGACUGGAAACGGUCGCUAAAACUGGAUAGGAUCAUUGGAGGCAUCUCUGAUGAUUUAAAGGGGCUGAAAGGCCACACUUAGAGAAAGGCGUGCGGCGCAUUAGCUAGUUGGUGGUGUAGAGGACUACCAAGGCGAUGAUGCGUAGCCGGACUGAGAGGUCGAACGGCCACAUUGGGACUGAGACACGGCCCAAACUCCUACGGGAGGCAGCAGUAGGGAAUUUUCGGCAAUGGGGGAAACCCUGACCGAGCAACGCCGCGUGAAUGAAGAAGUAUUUCGGUAUGUAAAGUUCUUUUAUUGAGGAAGAAUGGUUAGUGUAGGAAAUGACACUAACGUGACGGUACUCAAUGAAUAAGCCCCGGCUAACUAUGUGCCAGCAGCCGCGGUAAUACAUAGGGGGCAAGCGUUAUCCGGAUUUAUUGGGCGUAAAGGGUGCGUAGGCGGCUUGUUAAGUCUAAGGUGUAAGUGCAGGGCUCAACCCUGUGAUGCUUUAGAAACUGGUGAGCUAGAGAUAGAUAGAGGCAAGUGGAAUUCCAUGUGUAGCGGUAUAAAAUGUGUAAAUAUAUGGAGGAACACCAGUGGCGAAGGCGGCUUGCUGGGUCUAUACUGACGCUGAGGCACGAAAGCGUGGGGAGCAAACAGGAUUAGAUACCCUGGUAGUCCACGCCGUAAACGAUGAGUACUAAGUGUUGGGGGAACCCAGUGCUGUAGUUAACAUAUUAA